GCCAACGGCCAUACCACGUUGAACACACCAGUUCUCGUCCGAUCACUGAAGUUAAGCAACGUCGCCCCGGUUAGUACUUGGAUGGGUGACCGCCUGGGAAUCCUGGGUGCUGUUGGUA
Molecule: ribosomal RNA, 118 nt
Filed under: Orchesella cincta
Lineage: Eukaryota; Metazoa; Arthropoda; Collembola; Entomobryomorpha; Orchesellidae
Source: RNAcentral